Molecule: non-coding RNA, 145 nt
Filed under: Desulfofarcimen acetoxidans
Lineage: Bacteria; Bacillati; Bacillota; Clostridia; Eubacteriales; Peptococcaceae
Also listed under: 1 other name
Description: Desulfotomaculum acetoxidans MoCo sequence
Rfam family: Molybdenum/Tungsten riboswitch aptamer (Moco RNA motif)
Source: RNAcentral
AUAUUUUUUAUUUUCCGAGCUGUAUUACCUAAAUGUAUUUACUGCACACGGUAAUCAUGCCGGGUUCUUCAAUGGAGCCCCGGGUUUAACCGGAAACGGUUAUGCCUCCACUUACUUUUAGGAAAGGAAAAUUUUACGGCAUUUA